Long non-coding RNA from Amphibalanus amphitrite, 1077 nucleotides. RefSeq lists it as uncharacterized. The record is from RefSeq and is a predicted model, not a curated record. NCBI's taxonomy places the organism in Eukaryota, Metazoa, Arthropoda, Thecostraca, Balanomorpha, Balanidae. The transcript is spliced from 4 exons.
AUAACUUGCAAAAGGUAUGUGCGUUCUUGAAACUUCGAAACGAAUAAACCCUGCAUUUCCUAAAAAACGUAUUCAAGACGUGUUCAAAUAUUCCAGAGCAACUGCAGUCAUGGAGUGGCUCGUACCGAUAGCAUGAUAUUUUGCUGACAUGAACUCAGUACCAGAAAAUGUACAGAACUUUCUUGGCGAAGAAAAGAUCAAAGGAAUACAAAAUACCACCCUGGUGUUUAUGAUAAUACCAUUUUGCGCAGGCGUCGUCGCCGGGAUCCUGUUCAUCGUCCUCUGCCGCCCGUUCCGACGCUACAUGGAAUCGGUGUUCUUCACGGAGGCGCCCAGCCGCUCGGCCAUGCACGUCAGAGGCGCCAGCCUCCGCUAACAGGCGGCCACUCAGCGCCCAUCGGCGCCGUCCCAGCCAAUUUCAUAACAGCGCCGCCGGAGCGCGACACUGCCGCGUCGACAUCGAUUCGACGAAAUCCGCCGAGCGUCGGCGACCGGCGCCAAUAUGCUACGUGCAACGUGUAAAAUUUUAAUGCAGAAUUCUAAUCUCCACUGCCCUUCAGUUCAUUAGCCUGAUAUAUCCCCGUGAUUUAAUACGCUCGACCAAUCGUGUGAUUCCAUUAAAACGUCACGACUUUUGACGCCGCUCAUUGGUCCACCGCAUAUUGGCCCGGAGGGGAUAACGCCUGAUUACAUGUUUCUAUGGCAACGGCGCGAUAGCGGCAGACGCGGGGAGGCGAAAAUCAGCGGCGGCUGCUGGGGAGAAGCAGCGAGACGGGCCGGGCCGGCGGCGCGCGGGGGAGCGCGGCGCUCCCUCAAUGCAGGCCGACGAGCCACCGCCUUUUAUCGCCGGCAAUAUUUCACGGUGAAAAUAAACGCGCCGCGAGGGGAGGAUUUGGCGCGUUUGAAUUCGGUAAUUUCAGGGCAUCGCUUCUCCUUUCGGGGUUGUCGGGACCGGGCUCUUCGCUCGAUAGUGCAUCGUGGUUUCAUUUUGGUCAUGGGCUGUCGUCCCUGGAAGUUAGGAAGGUAUAAAGUGAAUGUCGCCAAAUGCCUUAUGCCUAAAUAAACAUAAUGAGAUGA